Quercus robur (English oak) is the source of this 794-nucleotide long non-coding RNA. RefSeq lists it as uncharacterized. NCBI's taxonomy places the organism in Eukaryota, Viridiplantae, Streptophyta, Magnoliopsida, Fagales, Fagaceae. The record is from RefSeq and is a predicted model, not a curated record. The transcript has 2 exons.
CUUAACAUGCCUCCUUCGUCUACUAAUCUGCUCUGCCUUCACCGCCGCUUGUCUUCCUCCCCACCGCUGCUUGAUCUCUUCCCCACUACUAACAACAUGCGGUAGAAAUGGUUUGUUAAGGACUCAAUGCCACCACAUUUCUUCGUUAAAUACAACAACAGGGGCCAAACCCCGAAGGAUAUAUUUACAGAUACACACAAAGACCUUGUCAAAGAUGGCAGUGAAUGGCUGAGCAAAACCUAGAAUCCUGCUCUGUAGUUGCAGCACUUAUUGCAACAGUUGCAUUUGCAACAUCAUCAACCGUUCCUGGUGGCUUCAAGAAGGGUAUUGGUGUGCCAACUUUGGAAGGAAAGCCUGCAUUCAACAUUUUUUUCCAUCUCAUCACUUGUAGCUCUCUGUUCCUCUGUCACAGCCCUAGUGUUUUUCCUGUCAAUUCUCACAUCUCGACCAAGAAGAGGAUUUUGCUAUGGACUUGCCUAGGAAGCUUCUGCUUGGUUUGACAUCACUCUUCACGUCUGUAGGAUUUUAAUAAUGUUGAUUUUAUCUUUCAAUGAAAUAUUUAGUAGUGUUAUUCAAAAUGGGGAUUCUUUUUUGCCAAUAAGUUGUUCAUUUGAAUUGUGGGGCUCCUUAAUGUACUUUGUUCAGUGCAUGAAGGGAUUUCAUUCAUGACUUAUAUAGCCGUCUGUACAAGACCUUCCAAAAAUGUAAGUUGUUUGGACAGCAAAACUAACUCCUACUCAUACUGUACAAAUCCCUAAUAAGUUCAAUGCUCUAAGAGCAAGCUUUUACAGUUA